GACAUGCAGAGAAGGCCCAUCAACUUAGUCAAGAGAUUGAGACUCUCUCUACUCACAAAAGUCUUUGUGAUCAUCGACUCCAGUUUCAGAGGAAGAAAUUCGCCAUGUUGAAGGAAACUUUUGCCAGUAUUAAUUUGUAGUCGAAUUAAUUUAACAAUUCUCAGCCCUUUGAGGCUUUCUUUGUAAUAACUUUAGUGCCAUUUUUAUUUGGCAAAGCUUAUCACAACUAUGUUUACAAUUAUUCUAUUAUUAUUUUUACUUCCUGCAA
Molecule: long non-coding RNA, 268 nt
Filed under: Lathyrus oleraceus (garden pea)
Lineage: Eukaryota; Viridiplantae; Streptophyta; Magnoliopsida; Fabales; Fabaceae
Description: Pisum sativum (pea) long non-coding RNA (PSAT_LNC022264)
Source: RNAcentral